UGUUAUCACUUUGGCAACACAUACAUUAAAUUGGAAUAAUACAGAGAGAGUUAGCACGGUCUCUGCGAAAGUAUGACACGCAAAUUCAUGAAGCAUUCCAUAUUUUU
Molecule: small nuclear RNA, 107 nt
Organism: Chiloscyllium plagiosum (whitespotted bambooshark)
Lineage: Eukaryota; Metazoa; Chordata; Chondrichthyes; Orectolobiformes; Hemiscylliidae
Source: RefSeq, a predicted model, not a curated record